Molecule: long non-coding RNA, 311 nt
Filed under: Oryza brachyantha (malo sina)
Lineage: Eukaryota; Viridiplantae; Streptophyta; Magnoliopsida; Poales; Poaceae
Description: long non-coding RNA (OBRA_LNC003244)
Source: RNAcentral
UUCUAGGAUUGGUCCAUUCACCAAUUCAUCUACUCCGACAACUCUGAAUUGGAGUUAAACAGAUGCGGCAGAGCGACCAUUGUCUAGAUGCGAGGUCUUCCUGCUGCAGUGGCUAUGUGUCCAGGGGAUGGGAUCGUCUCCUUGAUGUCAUGAAUAGAUGAACUCAACUGGAAGGGGAAUGUUGAGGUGACUGCUAUGUCUUCUUCUCCUUGAACCGAUCGCUUGAAUCCAAAUUGGUAUGUGCCCUUAGGGCACAGAGAAUUAUUACCUUUUAGGUCAUUCGUGCAUAUCGUGUGUAUCAGUUAUUACUC